AACGAACGCUGGCGGCAGGCCUAACACAUGCAAGUCGAGCGCCCCGCAAGGGGAGCGGCGGACGGGUGAGUAACGCGUGGGAAUAUGCCCUUUGCUACGGAAUAGUCUCGGGAAACUGGGGGUAAUACCGUAUACGCCCUUUGGGGGAAAGAUUUAUCGGCGAAGGAUUAGCCCGCGUUGGAUUAGGUAGUUGGUGGGGUAAUGGCCUACCAAGCCGACGAUCCAUAGCUGGUUUGAGAGGAUGAUCAGCCACACUGGGACUGAGACACGGCCCAGACUCCUACGGGAGGCAGCAGUGGGGAAUCUUAGACAAUGGGGGCAACCCUGAUCUAGCCAUGCCGCGUGAGUGAUGGAGGCCUUAGGGUUGUAAAGCUCUUUCAGCUGGGAAGAUAAUGACGGUACCAGCAGAAGAAGCCCCGGCUAACUCCGUG
Molecule: ribosomal RNA, 431 nt
Filed under: uncultured bacterium
Lineage: Bacteria
Description: partial 16S ribosomal RNA
Rfam family: Bacterial small subunit ribosomal RNA
Source: RNAcentral